RNAcentral lists this ribosomal RNA (400 nucleotides) under uncultured bacterium. RNAcentral describes it as "bacterial SSU rRNA". It matches the Rfam family "Bacterial small subunit ribosomal RNA", at positions 355 to 771 of the family's 1533-position model. The record is from RNAcentral.
UGGGGAAUAUUGCACAAUGGGCGAAAGCCUGAUGCAGCAACGCCGCGUGAGUGAUGAAGGCCUUUGGGUCGUAAAGCUCUGUCCUAAGGGAAGAAUAAAUGACGGUACCUUAGGAGGAAGCCCCGGCUAACUACGUGCCAGCAGCCGCGGUAAUACGUAGGGGGCGAGCGUUAUCCGGAAUUAUUGGGCGUAAAGAGUGCGUAGGUGGUUGUUUAAGCGCGAGGUGAAAGGCUACAGCUUAACUGUAGUAAGCCUUGCGAACUGGACGACUUGAGUGCAGGAGAGGAAAGCGGAAUUCCUAGUGUAGCGGUGAAAUGCGUAGAUAUUAGGAGGAACACCAGUGGCGAAGGCGGCUUUCUGGACUGUAACUGACACUGAGGCACGAAAGCGUGGGGAGCAA